GUGAUUCUCUCAUUAUUUCAGGCAUAUUUUAUAUAUAUAUAUAUAUAUAUGUAAUGAGGUGGAGCUGGAGGGUGCGAUCUGGUUGGGGCAUGGUAAUUUCAUUAACCUGGCUGCAACAAUUAAGCAAUCAGCACGCGUAUAUAGGACCCGGUUGUGGUUGCGUGUGUGACUGAUUUGCAAGCGUGACGUGACUCUCCGUGCGCUAGUAUCUCCUUUUCCGGAAGUUGUGGCUAUAUCCAACGCUGCAGUUGCAAGGGCUUGGUAAAUCUAGCAGCUUGCGGUUGCUUCCGCUUUUAAGGUUUUCCAACUUUUACCGCGUGUAAUCUGCCAGUGGAUCGCGACUUGGAGUGUCCCGGACCGACGUGAGCCAGACCAUCAGCGGGAUACUAAGUCACUACAAGUGCUGCUGUUUUGCCCGGAGGUUUUAUGUUUUGUUUCAUGUUUUAAUGGGUUUUAAGUAUUAAUGUUUUAUUGAUUGGAUGUACAUUGGGGGGGUGUCGUUGGGAAGGCUUGGUGCUGGGCGGUGAGGAUCCGUGUCGGGCGAUACCGCGCUGCGUGGUCGCGUUGCUUUCUUGUAGCCCACCCCUUGGGUGGAUGUACGUGCGUCAUGUACUGCGGGACCCCUUAGAGUGUUGUCUGACUGUAUGCCUCCCAUUCCCCUCCCGAUAACAGCUGCCUGGUUUGAGUUUUCUCUUUUGUCGUGUGAUUAGAGUGUUUUAAACAUGAUUUGAUGUGUAUUAUUUGUGCUGUGAUUUUGGUUUUGUAAUUUGCUGUUUGGUUUCUUUGUGUUUUUAUUUUGCGUGUUAAUAGCCAGCAGCCUAAUAAAGGGAGUGUUUAUGGUC
Molecule: long non-coding RNA, 842 nt
Organism: Brienomyrus brachyistius
Lineage: Eukaryota; Metazoa; Chordata; Actinopteri; Osteoglossiformes; Mormyridae
Exons: 2
Source: RefSeq, a predicted model, not a curated record